Molecule: signal recognition particle RNA, 96 nt
Filed under: bacterium
Lineage: Bacteria
Description: signal recognition particle sRNA small type
Rfam family: Bacterial small signal recognition particle RNA
About the family: The signal recognition particle (SRP) is a universally conserved ribonucleoprotein involved in the co-translational targeting of proteins to membranes. Archaeal SRP consists of a 7S RNA and homologues of the eukaryotic SRP19 and SRP54 proteins.
Source: RNAcentral
AACAAGGGCUAAGAUGGCGUAAACUUUCGAACCAUGUCAGGGGGGAAACUCAGCAGCAUUAAGAUUGACCUUACGGGUGUUUUAUUUUUUGUAGGA